GAUCCUGGCUCAGGACGAACGCUGGCGGCGUGCUUAACACAUGCAAGUCGAACGGAGCACCCUUGACUGAGGUUUCGGCCAAAUGAUAGGAAUGCUUAGUGGCGGACUGGUGAGUAACGCGUGAGGAACCUGCCUUCCAGAGGGGGACAACAGUUGGAAACGACUGCUAAUACCGCAUGACGCAUGACCGGGGCAUCCCGGGCAUGUCAAAGAUUUUAUCGCUGGAAGAUGGCCUCGCG
Molecule: ribosomal RNA, 239 nt
Filed under: uncultured bacterium
Lineage: Bacteria
Description: partial 16S ribosomal RNA
Rfam family: Bacterial small subunit ribosomal RNA
Source: RNAcentral